CCCUCGCUCGCUCUCUCGCUCUCUCGCCCCCUCUCCAUCCAUCAUCACUUCAUUGCGGCUGCUGCUGCUGCUGCGUCUUCUUCUCCUUACAACCACGAGUCGCGCGUCUCCCUCCGUGCGUCUCCCUCCAGGGCAGCAGUGACGAGUCGGGGAGACGCUGGCGGGAGGAGACCACGCGGAUUACCACCACGGACACAACGCAAACUUGUAGAGACGACGCCGGGAGAGACGAGGAGGCGACAGCAAUGGGUGGGGGGACAUCGUGGAUGGGAUAGCCACGAUCACGGACGUCUCGAAGAUCGGACCCGGAUCGUACCGGGGACCAGACCGGAUCGGAUUGUACUGGGAACCGGACCGGAUCGUACCUGGGACCGGAUCGGAUUACACCGGGAUCUGGACCGGAUUCUACCAGAGACCAGACUGGAUUUGAUCGCACCAGGGCAAAGACCGGAUCGCACCAGUGACCGGACCGGAUUGGAUUUCAUCAUACCAGGGAUCAGAUCGAACCUGUUCGGAUUUUACCGCAGACCGGAUCGGAUUGCACCGGGCCCUGGAUCUGAUUUGAGAGAGCAGACAGUCUCACCCAGGAAGGGAUGGACUCGAACCGCUUCGGAGAUAUUGGACCGGAAAAUCGGAUCGGAGAGGAUUGCCGAAUCGGAGACGGGUUUUUCAUGCCAGAUAGUCGCCCGCCUAGUGGCAUAGCCAGCCAACUAGUCACCCGGAUGUCCAGUUAUCCACUUGGUCACCUAGCUAGUCACCCUCCCAGACAGUAGCCCGUCUAAUGUAUCAGCCACCGAGUUAGUCAUCUAGCCAACCACCCACCCAGUUCGUCACACAUUUAGCCAUCGGCGUAGUCACCCACCCAGCUAGUUAAACAUUAAGUCAUCUAUUUAAUGGCCCAGCCAUUUAGUCACCCAAUUAAUCGUCUGCUGAGUCACCCACCAGUUAGUCACCCACCAGCCAUUACCAUGGGUAAGUCACCCAGAUAGCCAACUCCCAACCGAGUCACCCACCCAAGCGAGUCGCCCAUCAAGUCGCCCGUCGAGUCACCUGUCAAGUCACCCGACAAGUCGCCCAACAAGUCGCCCGUCAAGUCGCCUGUCAAGUCACCCACCCAAGCAAGUCGCCCGUCAAGUCGCCCGUCAAGUCGCCCGUCGAGUCACCCAUCGAGUCACCCGUCAAGUCACCCGACAAGUCGCCCAACAAGUCGCCCGUCAAGUCGCCUGUCAAGUCACCCACCCAAGCAAGUCACCCGUCAAGUCACCCGACAAGUCGCCCAACAAGUCGCCCGUCAAGUCGCCUGUCAAGUCACCCACCCAAGCAAGUCGCCCGUCAAGUCGCCCGUCAAGUCGCCCGUCGAGUCACCCAUCGAGUCACCCGACAAGUCGCCCAACAAGUCGCCCAUCAAGUCGCCUGUCAAGUCACCCACCCAAGCAAGUCGCCCGUCAAGUCGCCCGUCAAGUCGCCCGUCAAGUCACCCGUAGAGUCGCCCUGCGAACGGGUGGAGCGGCGGCGCUGGAGACUUGGCACGCGGUGGUGCCAGGAGGGGGGGGGGCAGUCACCGGGCGGUGG
Petromyzon marinus (sea lamprey) is the source of this 1572-nucleotide non-coding RNA. NCBI's taxonomy places the organism in Eukaryota, Metazoa, Chordata, Hyperoartia, Petromyzontiformes, Petromyzontidae. The record is from RefSeq and is a predicted model, not a curated record.